This 316-nucleotide unclassified non-coding RNA is filed under the name uncultured fungus. Its description in RNAcentral is "sequence contains ITS2". The stretch from base 1 to 52 matches the Rfam family "5.8S ribosomal RNA", at positions 103 to 154 of the family's 154-position model. The record is from RNAcentral. Lineage: Eukaryota; Fungi.
AACGCACCUUGCACCCUUUGGUAUUCCGAAGGGUAUGCCUGUUUGAGUGUCAUUAAAUUCUCAACUUCAUUUGUUGAAGCUUGGACUAUGGAGGUCAUUGCAGGCCGUUUAUUAUGGUCAGCUCCUCUCAAAUGCAUUAGCGGGAACUGUUUAAAGUGGGGACCAGCUUUGGUUUGAUAAUUGAAUAUCUAUGCCGUCGCUGAGGACCUUUGUUAAUGUUCAGCUUCUAAUGGUCCUUUUGGACUGUCUCUUUUUUGAGGCAUAUAUAUAUUUAAGCCUUGACCUCAAAUCAGGUAGGACUACCCGCUGAACUUAA